UACAGAGGUCUCAAGCGUUGUUCGGAUUCAUUGGGCGUAAAGGGUGCGUAGGCGGCGCGGUAAGUCGGGUGUGAAAUCUUGGAGCUUAACUCCGAAACUGCAUUCGAUACUGCCGUGCUUGAGGACUGGAGAGGAGACUGGAAUUUACGGUGUAGCGGUGAAAUGCGUAGAUAUCGUAAGGAAGACCAGUGGCGAAGGCGGGUCUCUGGACGACACCUGACACUGAGGCACGAAAGCCAGGGGAGCAAACAGG
Molecule: ribosomal RNA, 253 nt
Filed under: uncultured bacterium
Lineage: Bacteria
Description: partial 16S ribosomal RNA
Rfam family: Bacterial small subunit ribosomal RNA
Source: RNAcentral